GCCCCUAUAGCUCAGUUGGUUAGAGCAACGGACUUCAACAGAACACAAUGGAGCGCCAGCGUAGAAAUGCGCUGGAUGACCGCCGCUAUAUGCUGGAACGCCCUGAGAGCCCGAGGUACUCGCCGGAUGCUGGUCAUCUGGCAGUGAAAAUCCGAGGGAUUGGGUAAUCAGCAGGUAACCGCAAGGGAACCUCAGAGACUACACGCGGCGCACCUGACCGGUCAGGCCGAAGGUGAAGAUAUAGUCCAGACUGCAAGCCGGUAGAACGGUGGCGGGGGAAACCUCGUGCAGCAGGUUAAUCCGUGGGUCCAGGGUUCGAGUCCCUGUGGGGGCACCA
RNAcentral lists this transfer RNA (337 nucleotides) under Microbacterium laevaniformans. RNAcentral describes it as "tRNA-OTHER". The stretch from base 26 to 260 matches the Rfam family "Group I catalytic intron". From Rfam's summary of the family: Group I catalytic introns are large self-splicing ribozymes. They catalyse their own excision from mRNA, tRNA and rRNA precursors in a wide range of organisms. The core secondary structure consists of 9 paired regions (P1-P9). Lineage: Bacteria; Bacillati; Actinomycetota; Actinomycetes; Micrococcales; Microbacteriaceae. The record is from RNAcentral.